CCUACGGGAGGCAGCAGUGAGGAAUAUUGGUCAAUGGGCGCGAGCCUGAACCAGCCAAGUAGCGUGAAGGAUGACUGCCCUACGGGUUGUAAACUUCUUUUAUAAAGGAAUAUAGUGAGGCACGUGUGCCUUUUUGUAUGUACUUUAUGAAUAAGGAUCGGCUAAUUCCGUGCCAGCAGCCGCGGUAAUACGGAGGAUCCGAGCUUUUUCGGAAUUUCUUGGGUUUAAAGGGAGCGUAGAUGGGUGGUUAAGUCAGUUGUGAAAGUUUGCGGCUCAACCGUAAAAUUGCAAUUGAUACUGGCAGGCUUGAGUACAGUUGAGGUAGGCGGAAUUCGUGGUGUAGCGGUGAAAUGCUUAGAUAUCACGAAGAACUCCGAUUGCGAAGGCAGCUUACUAAGCUGCCACUGACAUUGAUGCUCGAAAGUGUGGGUAUCAAACAGGAUUAGAUACCCUAGUAGUC
This 460-nucleotide ribosomal RNA is filed under the name uncultured bacterium. Its description in RNAcentral is "partial 16S ribosomal RNA". It matches the Rfam family "Bacterial small subunit ribosomal RNA", at positions 338 to 795 of the family's 1533-position model. The record is from RNAcentral.